Molecule: long non-coding RNA, 1213 nt
Filed under: Lepisosteus oculatus (spotted gar)
Lineage: Eukaryota; Metazoa; Chordata; Actinopteri; Semionotiformes; Lepisosteidae
Description: lncRNA (ENSLOCG00000022096.1)
Source: RNAcentral
ACACGUUAAAAUAAAAGCCAAGGUUAAUCAAAACAAUUUGAACGCUAGCAAAAUAAACUAGGAAUAAAACAUUUUAAAAACAUACUUAAGUAUGGUUAAUCGUAAAGGAAAAGUAUGAUAAAAUAUAGAUUCUGUUCAUGUUUCCAUGGUCUUCCCAUCACUACACCAUUUUAAAUAAACCAUUUAAAUGAUUUGUGGAAAUAAACUACAGUAAGUUUAGUAAAGAUAAAUUGCAAACACAAAAUCCGUGUCAGAAAGAGGCGUGACAAUGAACUCAUCGCCUCCAGACACACGAGCUGACCGAGUCCAGAUAUCGCCGACUGCCACGCCCACCUGCUCCCACACCAGACCAGCCUCAUGCACUUAUGGAUGCAAGGAGCCACGUUCUGCCGAACAUUUUUCUUUCUCGCUCCCUGGACUGGCAACUCCUUAAUGUGUUUACGGGUGGAGCUCGAAUAGUGCAAUUUGCUCUUGUGUUUCUCUGAUUCCCCUUGAUGACAGUGAGGUUUUGGGGAGAAAGCAGCUUAAGUGAGUUCAUUUUCAAAGUGCUCUCUUACUGCCAUAUAAACAAAUAAAUGUCUUCCUGCCAUUUAUUUUGUGCUCCAAUGCUCUUAGACAUUUUUAUUUUGUUUUUUGCUUCUUCCCUCUCUCCAAGCCAGGCUUCAUUAUUUUCUGCAGAGGCCUAUGUGAUACUGUUUCACCACCCCGUCUCCUAGGAAGAAUUAACAGUUGUGGAAGAGUGAGCUUGGCCAACACAGACCUGUUUCCGACAGUGAGGAGAAAAACAGAUGCACAGACAAGAAGAAUGCACUGCUCUUGCUGGACUGCGGCCGAACUAAAUCAAACCACACCUUGUGCACAGACACACUCCCACAUCCUCGCUCAUCCUCGGCUGCUCAGUCAUUCUCUCUCCACAGUGUGCUCUGCCCAGCGCCAUCCAUCUGCUCUCUGCCUGGCAGCCCCUCCGCUCCCUGAUGACCUCUCAGGUAUGAAAAAUGGUUCAAUUAAUCUUGUAAACAUACAGGCCUCGCUUGCUGUAAAACACUAAUUUAUACCAGCCUGUUUAAUUAAGCUAGCUUUUUAGAUGGAUUCACUCAUGUUGUCCUGAGGGAAUUGGCUGUUUUAUGACACAUUUCACUCAAUCCCAUCAACACUCAGUGCCGUCUCUGUUCCCAGGGCAGGUAUCCUGCUGGUGCACAGUGCUCACUGCUGC